RNAcentral lists this ribosomal RNA (759 nucleotides) under uncultured Amanita. RNAcentral describes it as "eukaryotic LSU rRNA". The stretch from base 89 to 759 matches the Rfam family "Eukaryotic large subunit ribosomal RNA", at positions 1 to 656 of the family's 3401-position model. Lineage: Eukaryota; Fungi; Basidiomycota; Agaricomycetes; Agaricales; Amanitaceae. The record is from RNAcentral.
UCUUAUUGGUGUGAUAAACUAUCUAUGCCAUGAGAUGCUUUAUGAUCCUCUGCUGUCUAACUGUCUUAUCAAGACCAUAUGAUAAACUUGACCUCAAAUCAGGUAGGACUACCCGCUGAACUUAAGCAUAUCAAUAAGCGGAGGAAAAGAACUAACAAGGAUUCCCUUAGUAACUGCGAGUGAAGAGGGAAAAGCUCAAAUUUAAAAUCUGGCAGUGCUUCACUGUCCGAGUUGUAACCUAGAGAAGUGUAACCUGUGCUGGACCGUGUAUAAGUCUCCUGGAAUGGAGCGUCAUAGAGGGUGAGAAUCCCGUCUUUGACAUGGACUACCAGUGCAUUGUGGUUGCGCUCUCAACGAGUCGAGUUGUUUGGGAAUGCAGCUCUAAAUGGGUGGUAAAUUCCAUCUAAAGCUAAAUAUUGGCGAGAGACCGAUAGCGAACAAGUACCGUGAGGGAAAGAUGAAAAGAACUUUGGAAAGAGAGUUAAACAGUAUGUGAAAUUGUUGAAAGGGAAACGUUUGAAGUCAGUCGCGUUGGUUGGGGAUCAGCCUGACAUUGUUGGGUGUACUUCCCGGUUGACGGGCCAACAUCAGUUUUGACUGCCAGAGAAAGGCCAAAGGAAUGUGGCACCUUUGGGUGUGUUAUAGCCUUUGGUUGUAUAUGGUGGUUGGGACUGAGGAAAGCAGCGUGCCGAAAGGCCGGGUUUUUAACCACGUUCACGCUGAGGAUGUUGGCAUAAUGGCUUUAAGCGACCCGUCUGG